CUUCAAACAAAGUUGUGUGACGUCGAGUAAAUACACGUGCGUUUGUCAGGAGCAAUAAAAAAGUGCUAAAUACAGUAAAAAUAAGGAUAGAAAGGAUCGACAUUGGAUUCGAGGAAAUCACUGUCAGUUGACAAGCCCAAGUAUAUAAAACACACUGAAUG
Molecule: long non-coding RNA, 161 nt
Organism: Drosophila sulfurigaster albostrigata
Lineage: Eukaryota; Metazoa; Arthropoda; Insecta; Diptera; Drosophilidae
Exons: 3
Source: RefSeq, a predicted model, not a curated record